Molecule: RNA transcript, 5201 nt
Organism: Crotalus tigris (Tiger rattlesnake)
Lineage: Eukaryota; Metazoa; Chordata; Lepidosauria; Squamata; Viperidae
Gene: TP53BP1
Gene name: tumor protein p53 binding protein 1
Exons: 24
Source: RefSeq, a predicted model, not a curated record
GGCGCCGAUGCAUGUCUGGGAAGGGGGGUGCUUGCCGCGCGGGCGGCCUGCGGCUGCGCAGACCUGCCUCGUCGCCCCGCCCACCGCCUUGCCGCCGCGGGCGUCGCCAUGGACCCGCUGGGCUCGGCCUGCUCCGUGGCCGACUCGCCGCGCCUGCUGGUGGAGGACUCGCAGCCGGAGCCGGAGCCGGAGCGGGCCGGAGGGGCGCUAAGCCCGGUCCUGGAGCCGCCGCCGCCGCCGCCGCGCUUGCCGGCCUUUCCGGAGGCCGGUGAAGUUCCAUCUGCAGACCAAGAUAAAGCAGGCUGUCAUACAGUAAGGAAAUCCAGGAGUGAUUAUUCUGAAGGUUCCAGCUCUAUGUCCAGCCGUGUCCCUGGAAUAAUGCAGCCCCACAAAGAAACUCCUGAGACCCCAGGUUCUCCCUGCCUCCUCCUGGAGAGGACACCGCCAGUGAAGAGCCCUCAUCCUUGGCCAUUGGAGGAUGCUGAGCCUGUCUCUUCUACACAGGAGGACAUGUUUAGCCAGAACAGCACAACAGCUCCGGGCAGUGGUUGCACCAUGUCUAGACCAGAAGAGGCAAGUUCCUCAUCAUCCUCUCCGAAUGAUCCUCUGCACGUCCUUCAGCUCUCUGGACAAGGACCUCUUUCCAAUUGUGCUUCAGGUCUUGCUAGAACAACUUCUGAUGUCUUACAGCCAGUGCCUUUUAUUCUUCCAAGAAGCCCAACUGAACAGGAGGCAGAAGGAAAGCAGGAAAGUCCAACAUUGGAGACGGCAGGCACCCUUCGGGGUUCUGUUCCAGCUCCUCAAGAGGCUGUCCUGCUGCCCUCCAUCCCUCUGCCAUCCCAGCCCGAAUUCUCUCACGACACCUUUCUCCCAACUCCAAGCCUGGAGGAAGGCUGUAAGAAGGGAGCAGAGAAAGGAGGAUGUUCUGAUGACUCUGAAGUGCCGGAGGCUGCAACAUCAGCCUCUUUUGCAGAACCCGAAGAGAACAGCUGUAUUUUGGCCCUCUCUGUUAGUCAGGAUAGCCAGGUGACCCCAGUGGAGAAGAAGGAGACCACUGGCGUUGCUGCUGCUUGUGCUUUGGAGGAGAAGCUUUGCUUGCCUGAUGGCUGUAGUGAACAGGAGGCCGAUGAGAGUCGGCCCUCAUUUGUACUGUCGGCAGAAAGCACUUCCCUGGACAAACCUUGUGAUGACCUCGGCCAUCAAGGCAGGGUGCCAACCAAGGAAUCUUUGUUCCUGGAGUGUGACGCUGUCCCGGACACUCCCUGUGAAAAGGCAGAAGAAGUCGCCUUGCUGGAUGAAGGACUUUCUCUUCGUUUGACAAUUUCUCAGGCAGUAGAACAAGCGGAAUGUUCUGCUGUUGGGGAAGCCUUUCCCCAAAACGAUCCACAUGUAACUGGCGAGCCGGCACUCGUGGGGUCAGGCAAGCUAGAGCAAGGUCCUCGGGACAAUCCCAACGAGCCUGUGCUGGAAGUGCAGAGCAAGGGUCGAAGGAUUAAUCCUGGAAUGAUGCUGAAAGAGUCCGAUUCUGAGCCCCCACCGGAGGAGGGGAGUAGCCAGCUCCAGAGAAGAACUGGUAGUUUUCCUGGGGAGAUUCUGCAUGCCCGUGUCCCACCAGAGCCGCCCUUUCGUAUCUCGUUGGCGAAAGAGAGAGAGGCCCUCACCCCGCCUCUGGUGGGCCAGCACAAGGAAGGCCUCAGGCACAGCACUCCCAUUGGGGCGGGAAGUGACCCCGAGCACCCUGCUGUGGGGCCAGAGGGCAGAGAUGGCGUCUUGGCGGGGGCUGGAUCAGCUGGCUCUGCAGCCCUUGAGGAGAGCUCCCAAGGCAGCGCUGUGAUGGCCUGCGAAGAGGAAGAGGAAGAGGGGCUCUGCCUGCGUGGGACCCUGGUGACCCCCGUGAUGGAAGAGAGUGACGAGCCUCUGCCUUUCAGCCUGGAGAAGCCUGAAGCGAGGGAAAGGACGAAUGGGCUGGCCACAGUGAGCGACCCCAGUUCUCAGAAAACGCUGUCUGUCUUUGCUCGAGUCUGUGGACCUCAACCCGAAGAAAAGGCUCCAGGCCCAGGACAGCCGUCUUCGCUAUUCAGGGGUGACUUGUUCAAGUUCCCAAGUUCCCAAGAAGAAGAAGAACCGUCACAAACUUGGCAGGAGCAGCAGAAAUGUGUCCCCUUGGGUGGCAGACAAGUCCCGCCUUCUGAGCCGAUGGCCGAAGAGAAGGCGGUAGGCUGCACUGAGGUGGGAGAGGCCAUGGAGGUUGACGUUGCCCCACUUCAGCCUGGGGAGAAUCAGAGAGCCAUAAAGAAGUCGGGCCCAGUGGGGGCACCAGGAGAAAAGACCGUUCCAGAGUCUGGAUCCAGCAAUGGCAAAAGCACCCAGGCCCCAGACCCAGCGGGCCCCAUGUCAGCAGCCACGCAGACGGCCUCUGCCGCUACGGUGGAAGUGGGCACCAGCAUGGCCUGCCCAGCGCUCCAGCAACGCAGCGCCAGUGUGCAAACAGAGCGGGACUUUAUGUGGCGGCCUAGAAGCUCCCCAGAGACCUCGCCCUGUCAGAAGGAGGAAGAAUUCGAACUGCCACACCCACCAGCAGGUAGAGUCCUACAGCGCCAUGUGAGAACAAUUCGGGAAGUGCGGACCCUCAUAACACGCGUCAUCACGGAUGUUUACUACAAAGAUGGCACCGAAGUGGACCGACAGGUGAUUGAGGAGCGAGAGGAGCCCCACGUGGAUUGCUAUGAGUGUGAGGUGGACGUCUCUCCUUCCCGCACUGGGUCCUUUUCUCUGACCUCUGGAGACCUUGGGGACAUCAGCUCCUUUUCCUCCAAGGCGUCGGGACCUCAACACACUUCCAGUGGAGGAAGCAGUGCUCUGUCUGCCACUCGCAGCCGCGCAAACUCUGCAGCCCGAAGAGGGGGCUCUCAAGACUUGGCCUUGCCCACGGUCAAGAAGCCGAGCCCUAAGAGGGGGACCAGCUUCUGCCCAGCCCAUCGUGAGCAUGGCAAAGGUGCAGCGGACCAUGAGGUGGAAGACCCAGGCCCCAGCAACCAGCAGUGUGGAGGUGCACCUCUCACUCCCCGUGGGCGAGGGCGAAGGGGCCGCCCCACUUCCCGAUCAACUGGAGCCAGGGGCUCCAUGCAGGCUGAGGCAGAUCUUUCAACCACUGCCUCUUUGGACGGGCAGCCCAGCCUGGGUCCACAUCUGGAGGGACAGGAGCAAGCUGACCCCCCUCCAUGCCGCAGUGGCUCCCCCGAAAUCCCUUUGCAGGAGCAGCCGAGCGUCUCUGAUAAUCCCAGGCUCCCUUCCCCUGGGAGCUGCCUCGUGGGCCUCCGGGUGGUAGCCAAGUGGUCCUCCAAUGGCUACUUCUACUCAGGGACUAUCACGCAGGAUGUGGGCGGAGCCAAGUACAGGUUGCUCUUUGACGAUGGCUAUGAAUGCGACGUUCUGGCCCGAGAUGUCCUUCUGUGCGACCCCCUCCCUCUGGAAACGGAGGUGACAGCGCUCUCCGAGGAUGAAUACUUCAGUGCAGCCUGUAGCUCUGCCUUUGCUGCAGGUGUGGUCAAGGGCCACCGGAAGGAGGCAGGAGAGCUGUUCUAUUGCAUCGAGAAAGAUGGACAGCGGAAGUGGUACCGGCGGACGGCGGUUAUCCUGUCUUUGGAGCAAGGGAACAGACUCCGGGAGCAGUUUGGGCUUGGCCCCUGCCAGCCUGCCACUCCUCUGCCCAGGGCGGCCGAUAUCAGCCUAGAUAACCUGGUGGAGGGAAAGCGGAAGAGACGCAGCAUUGGCUCACCCGGCCCCGCCAGUGGUAGCACAACUCCCGUCCGCAAGAGCCCGGAGCCUCUUUCCAGUAAAAGGAAACUGGCUGCUGUCUCAGAGGAGGAGCAGUCGCCAGCCAAGCGAGGGCGGCGACUGGUACUGUCCAAAGCAGGAACUGCGAAUGCCAGGGAGUUGGCAAGCCCAUCAGGAAGUGGAAAGUCCUCAGGCGAACCCUUGGCACUUGAUCACCGAUGGGGUCCUUUGCCCCAGAACAAAACUCUGUUUUUGGGCUAUGCCUUUCUUCUCUCCGUGGCGAAUGCAACAGAUAAGCUUUCUAGUCAUCAAAAGACUACAGUGAGCAGUGAAGAAGAAGAAGAAUUUGUGGAGAGAGUACCUUACGACAAACCCUACACUGAGCUACAACUCCAAGCAGGAGGCGGUUUCAUCCUUGAGGACUUCAACGAAAGCCAGUGCAGCGCAGCCUAUGACUGCCUCCUCAUAGCAGACCAGCACUGCCGCACCCGGAAGUAUUUCCUGUGCCUUGCCCGGGGAAUACCGUGUGUGUCUCACAUGUGGGUCCAUGACAGUUGCCUCGCCAACCAGAUUCAGAACUACAAGAACUACUUGUUGCCGGCUGGCUACAGCCUGGAGGAAGAGCGGUUGCUGGAGUGGCACCCACGGAGAAAUCCUUUCCAGAGGCUGAAGGUACUCCUGGUGUCCGACGAGUCCCAAAACUUCCUGGAACUCUGGUCGGAGAUUCUGAUGAUGGGAGGAGCUGCUUCGGUUAAGCAGCAGGAAUCCUCAACCUGGAAGAACGGAUUCUUAGGAUCCUUUUGAGAAACUGCGGGAGUCUCCUGCAAGAUCACCCUUUCAUUGAAAAGUGUUAAGAGUGGGAUAUGCAAUGCUAGAAACUGACAGCCAUUGUUUUCUGUUCUUACAGAUCAGCAGGUUUCUUGCAGCAAAACCUCCAGACAAACUUGCUGAAUCCCAGGUGUGCAAGAAGAGGAAGUUAAGUUAAAAGCCGUACAGACCAGUCUAAAUAAAUAUACUUAGAAAAGCUGAUUUGAAGAGCAGCAAACGCAAGGGAGCACGGUAAGAUGGGAUAACUGCCAAAAAUUUGAUUUUCUUUCUAGGCUUUGUGAAGCAACAGCAAUUGAGAGUGUUUAAUUUUCUAUCUCUGGGACACUUGCCUGAAUCGGCAUAUUUAUCUCAAAAUCAGAUGAAGCACUGUAGCCCUUCCACCUUUGUUCUUACGCCCCCUAUUUCCAGGCCAUCUCCUUGAAAAAAAAUUGAUUGCAUAAAAAAGACAAUAUCGGUUACUUUCUUUUUCAUUAAGGGCUCCAGCAGUUUUGUUAGGAAAUAAAAUGGCUCGUCUUAUAUUUUGGCAGUUGUUUCCCACCAGAGGCAGCAAAUGUUGAUAGCCUCUUGGCCUGGUUCAAACUGUGUGUCUUCAGCAC